AGCGAUCAGCGCUAUACAGGGUGAGAUGAAAAAACUGCAACCAACUUCAGUCUGCUGUCAUUUCUAAGCCACUCGUCUGACAGCUGUUAAAAUUAUUCCAGUGACAGCUCAUUAUAUUAAUAAACGUCGAAUAUUAUGGCGAAAAUAUUCUGGAGGGUGUAUUAAAGCCUUGGGCACGCAAACAUUUUGGUCGCAGACCUUGGACAUUCCAACUGGACUCAGCACCAUCGCACUCAGUACGCGCCACCCAAGAAUGGUUACAAAAUGAG
Molecule: long non-coding RNA, 269 nt
Organism: Musca vetustissima
Lineage: Eukaryota; Metazoa; Arthropoda; Insecta; Diptera; Muscidae
Exons: 2
Source: RefSeq, a predicted model, not a curated record